GACGAACGCUGGCGGCGUGCCUAAUACAUGCAAGUAGAACGCACAGUUUAUACCGUAGCUUGCUACACCAUAGACUGUGAGUUGCGAACGGGUGAGUAACGCGUAGGUAACCUGCCUGGUAGCGGGGGAUAACUAUUGGAAACGAUAGCUAAUACCGCAUAAUAUUAAUUAUUGCAUGAUAAUUAAUUGAAAGGUGCAAUUGCACCACUACCAGAUGGACCUGCGUUGUAUUAGCUAGUAGGUGAGGUAACGGCUCACCUAGGCGACGAUACAUAGCCGACCUGCGAGGGUGGGCGGCCACCCUGGGACUGUGACACGGCCCAGACUCCUACGGGAGGCAGCAGUAGGGAAUCUUCGGCAAUGGGCGGAAGUCUGACCGCGCAACGCCGCGUGAGUGAAGAAGGUUUUCGGAUCGUAAAGCUCUGUUGUAAGAGAAGAACGGGUGUGAGAGUGGAAAGUUCACACUGUGACGGUAUCUUACCAGAAAGGGACGGCUAACUACGUG
RNAcentral lists this ribosomal RNA (505 nucleotides) under uncultured bacterium. Its description in RNAcentral is "partial 16S ribosomal RNA". It matches the Rfam family "Bacterial small subunit ribosomal RNA", at positions 28 to 507 of the family's 1533-position model. The record is from RNAcentral.